GAUGAAGAACGCAGCGAAAUGCGAUACGUAAUGUGAAUUGCAGAAUUCAGUGAAUCAUCGAGUCUUUGAACGCACAUUGCGCCCCCUGGUAUUCCGGGGGGCAUGCCUGUCCGAGCGUAAUUGCUGCCCUCAAGCACGGCUUGUGUGUUGGGCCUCCGUCCUCCUCCCGGGGGACGGGCCCGAAAGGCAGCGGCGGCACCGCGUCCGGUCCUCGAGCGUAUGGGGCUUCGUCACCCGCUCUUGUAGGCCCGGCCGGCGCUUGCCGACACAUCAAUCUUUUUUCCAGGUUGACCUCGGAUCAGGUAGGGAUACCCGCUGAACUUAAGCAUAUCAAUAAGCGGAGGA
This 345-nucleotide unclassified non-coding RNA is filed under the name soil metagenome. Its description in RNAcentral is "partial contains 5.8S ribosomal RNA, internal transcribed spacer 2, and large subunit ribosomal RNA". The stretch from base 1 to 120 matches the Rfam family "5.8S ribosomal RNA", at positions 35 to 154 of the family's 154-position model. The record is from RNAcentral.